GACACAGUGGCCAAAUGGUUAGCGCAUUGGACUCUGGAUUGCGCGGUCUGGGUUCGAGCCCUGGCCGGUGUCA
Non-coding RNA from Desmophyllum pertusum, 73 nucleotides. NCBI's taxonomy places the organism in Eukaryota, Metazoa, Cnidaria, Anthozoa, Scleractinia, Caryophylliidae. The record is from the annotation of a GenBank genome assembly.